RNAcentral lists this long non-coding RNA (978 nucleotides) under Cricetulus griseus (Chinese hamster). RNAcentral's name for it is "lncRNA (ENSCGRG00015004005.2)". The record is from RNAcentral. Lineage: Eukaryota; Metazoa; Chordata; Mammalia; Rodentia; Cricetidae.
GCAAGAAGGAAGUCGUCCCUUUUUCUCUUCUUCCUGCUCUGCUCUGAAGCUGCCAUGUGAUCCCGGCGAGAGAAGACGCCAGCAGCUAGCGUCCGAUAAGAUAAUUCUUUAUGGUUGAUACUUAAGACUGAGCUAGCAAGUAAGAAAUCCUACUCAGUUGGCCAAGCAGCAUUUGUACCUAAUGGCCUCCUGGGAUGGUGUCCUGCUGGGCACAGGGCUGUUUCCAGUUGGUGGUAAGAAAGGAUCUCAGAGCUUUAUCUGUGUUCCAACUGCUGUCCCUAUCUGCUACUGACCCAAGGAGAGCCAUCCAUUCACCCAGCAGUCCAGCCACCAGUGCCCUAUGCUGAUGGUAAGAGCAGGGAGCACUAGAAAUGAAUGCGAGCAGAAUGCAACUGGAGAUGGCUUUAAAUAAUGCAGGCCCUAAGGUCAGAGCGGUUGUGAAGUUUGAGAAAUUCUUUGACUCCUCUUGAAGCAUGUGUCUUCAGAAGUUUGGGCACACUUGCUCUGCCUUGGCAAUGAGCCAUUUUCUCUGUUGCACCCGGAGAGCUGAGGUCUACAUGCAAGGGAGAAGAAGCAUGGUCCUCAGGCAGUGGAUCUGCUAGUGCUCUGGGCAUCCAGAAUGUGGGAGCAGCUACAGAGAGCCCAUCAGAGGACCCUGGAAGGUUCAGGGACUUAUGCACAACCUCUGACCAAAUGCAAGCUAAACAAAAUUGCUCUGUCCCAGAGUAAACCUAGGGCAACUCAAGGAAGCCAGGUGCAAAGAGUCACUCUUGGUUGCCUGGGAACACCUUUUCAUGAAGGACAACCAGGAGCUGUUAAUCCUGGCAGAAGACAGGGAAUGACCACAAACUCACACACCACGUAGGCAGGAUCUAGGCUAUACUCAAGGGCCCUGUGUUAAAUAGAAAAUGGAAUUGGCUGAGAGUGUAUGCUAUUUGGAGCUGGCAGUAGUCCUGCAAUCCUAGCUACUCAGUGGGC